Molecule: ribosomal RNA, 449 nt
Filed under: uncultured bacterium
Lineage: Bacteria
Description: partial 16S ribosomal RNA
Rfam family: Bacterial small subunit ribosomal RNA
Source: RNAcentral
AACGAACGCUGGCGGCAGGCUUAACACAUGCAAGUCGAACGCAUCCUUCGGGGUGAGUGGCAGACGGGUGAGUAACGCGUGGGAACGUGCCCUUCAGUUCGGGAUAACCCAGGGAAACUUGGGCUAAUACCGGAUACGUGCGAGAGCAGAAAGAUUUAUCGCUGAUGGAUCGGCCCGCGUCUGAUUAGCGAGUUGGUGGGGUAAUGGCCCACCAAGGCGACGAUCAGUAGCUGGUCUGAGAGGAUGAUCAGCCACAUUGGGACUGAGACGCGGCCCAAACUCCUGCGGGAGGCAGCAGUGGGGAAUAUUGGACAAUGGGCGCAAGCCUGAUCCAGCCAUGCCGCGUGAGUGAUGAAGGCCUUAGGGUCGUAAAGCUCUUUCGUCCGGGACGAUAAUGACGGUACCGGAAGAAGAAGCCCCGGCUAACUUCGUGCCAGCCGCCGCGGUAA